This 456-nucleotide ribosomal RNA is filed under the name uncultured bacterium. RNAcentral's name for it is "bacterial SSU rRNA". It matches the Rfam family "Bacterial small subunit ribosomal RNA", at positions 51 to 518 of the family's 1533-position model. The record is from RNAcentral.
AUACAUGCAAGUCGAGCGAGGCAGCAGUGCCGAGCGGCGAACGGGUGAGUAACGCGUAAGCAAUCUGCCCCAUAUCAGGAAAUACCCGUGCCAACGCGCGGUUAAUGUCCAGGAGAGUGGCCCUCUGCAUGGAGGGUUGACUAGAGAUUUAUCGGUAUGGGAUGAGCUUGCGUCCGAUUAGCUAGUUGGCGGGGCAACGGCCCACCAAGGCGACGAUCGGUAGCCGGCCUGAGAGGGUGAUCGGCCACAUUGGGACUGAGAUACGGCCCAGACUCCUACGGGAGGCAGCAGUAGGGAAUAUUGCACAAUGGGGGAAACCCUGAUGCAGCAACGCCACGUGGUGGGAAGAAGCAUUUCGGUGUGUAAACCACUGUCAUGAGGGAAUAAGGCCCUUAUUCGUAAGGGAUUGAAUGUACCUUGAGAGGAAGCACCGGCAAACUUCGUGCCAGCAGCUGC